This 464-nucleotide ribosomal RNA is filed under the name uncultured bacterium. RNAcentral describes it as "SSU rRNA". It matches the Rfam family "Bacterial small subunit ribosomal RNA", at positions 26 to 518 of the family's 1533-position model. The record is from RNAcentral.
AGAAUCAACGCUGGCGGCGGUGCCUAACGACGAUGCAAGUCGAACGAGAAAGUGGGAGCAAUCCCACGAGUAAAGUGGCGCACGGGUGAGUAACACGUGACUAACCUACCCUUGAGUGGGGGGAUAACCUAGGGAAACCUGGGCUAAUACCGCAUAAUACCUACGGGUCAAAGGAGCAAUUCGCUUAAGGAGGGGGUCGCGGCAGAUUAGUUAGUUGGCGGGGUAAUGGCCCACCAAGACAGUGAUCUGUAUCCGGCCUGAGAGGGCGCACGGACACACUGGAACUGAAACACGGUCCAGACUCCUACGGGAGGCAGCAGUGGGGAAUUUGCGCAAUGGGGGAAACCCUGACGCAGCAACGCCGCGUGGAGGAUGAAGCCCCUUGGGGCGUAAACUCCUUUCGAUCGGGAAGAUAAUGACGGUACCGGAAGAAGAAGCCCGGCUAACUUCGCGCCAGCAGCCGC